RNAcentral lists this ribosomal RNA (447 nucleotides) under uncultured bacterium. RNAcentral describes it as "partial 16S ribosomal RNA". It matches the Rfam family "Bacterial small subunit ribosomal RNA", at positions 329 to 793 of the family's 1533-position model. The record is from RNAcentral.
AGCCAGACUCCUACGGGAGGCAGCAGUGGGGAAUAUUGCACAAUGGGGGAAACCCUGAUGCAGCGACGCCGCGUGAGCGAUGAAGUAUUUCGGUAUGUAAAGCUCUAUCAGCAGGGAAGAAAAUGACGGUACCUGACUAAGAAGCCCCGGCUAACUACGUGCCAGCAGCCGCGGUAAUACGUAGGGGGCAAGCGUUAUCCGGAUUUACUGGGUGUAAAGGGAGCGUAGACGGCAAUGCAAGCCAGAUGUGAAAGCCCGGGGCUCAACCCCGGGACUGCAUUUGGAACUGUGUAGCUGGAGUGUCGGAGAGGCAGGCGGAAUUCCUAGUGUAGCGGUGAAAUGCGUAGAUAUUAGGAGGAACACCAGUGGCGAAGGCGGCCUGCUGGACGAUGACUGACGUUGAGGCUCGAAAGCGUGGGGAGCAAACAGGAUUAGAUACCCCGGUAG